CACGUAGGGCGCGAGCGUUGCUCGGAAUGACUGGGCGUAAAGGGCGCGUAGGCGGAUGACACAGUCAGAUGUGAAAUUCCCGGGCUUAACCUGGGGGCUGCAUUUGAUACGUGUUGUCUAGAGUGAGGAAGAGGGUUGUGGAAUUCCCAGUGUAGAGGUGAAAUUCGUAGAUAUUGGGAGGAACACCAGUGGCGAAGGCGGCUCACUGGACCGGUACUGACGCUGAUGCGCGAAAGCGUGGGGAGCAAACGGG
Molecule: ribosomal RNA, 253 nt
Filed under: uncultured bacterium
Lineage: Bacteria
Description: partial 16S ribosomal RNA
Rfam family: Bacterial small subunit ribosomal RNA
Source: RNAcentral